AUGUGAUAGAUAAUUAUGCUUUUUAUAUAUCGAACAUGACACCCCCGUCUCUAAUUUGACCUUAUUAAAUUAAACAUGGUCAAACAACUUCAUCGAUUAAACAAAGUAAAAAAUGCUUACUAAUUUUUUUUUAUAAUUAACGUUACUUCCGGGAAGCAUUAUUUGUUCUAAUUUAGUUUGUAAUCAACAACUUGAUGACCCCAUAAAAACAAAAAGUCUCUCUCUAUAUAUAUGACCACCAUUUAGGUGUUUGCAAAGUCCAUAAAUUUUAUCAAAAAAAAAAAUGAAUUGGAAGUUGGUUUUGCUUACUGGUUGGAUUCUCCUCUCGUCUAUUGCACUAAACCCAACAUUGGCUAAAGUAACUUAUCCAUCAUCUCUCACGACAAGGAAAGGGAGGAUCGGAGGUAUACACAUCAGCAAAGGAAUGAAGAUUGGCUUUAGAGGCAGUUUUUCUAGAUCUGCUCAUCAUGGAAACGAUCCACCGAGUCAUAAUUUCUAAUUAGUUAUUGGAUUUUAUCGUUCUGUUCUAUAUAUAUCUUAACUUGUGAUUUCUAAGUAGUUGUUUGAUUAUGUACGUAUUAUAAUACUCUUUGAAUAAAUGAAAUGGAACUUCAAUAUAUGAUUAAAUUAUUUAAUACUUAA
Molecule: non-coding RNA, 642 nt
Organism: Camelina sativa (false flax)
Lineage: Eukaryota; Viridiplantae; Streptophyta; Magnoliopsida; Brassicales; Brassicaceae
Source: RefSeq, a predicted model, not a curated record